This 215-nucleotide ribosomal RNA is filed under the name uncultured bacterium. RNAcentral's name for it is "partial 16S ribosomal RNA". It matches the Rfam family "Bacterial small subunit ribosomal RNA", at positions 524 to 737 of the family's 1533-position model. The record is from RNAcentral.
UACAGAGGAGCCAAGCGUUGUCCGGAUUGACUGGGCGUAAAGCGCACGCAGGCGGCAUCGCGCGUGGGGUGUGAAAUCUGGCCGCUUAACGGCCAGGCGCCAUCCCAUACGGCACGACGUGGAGGGCUGCAGAGGUCGAUGGAAUUGCCGGUGUAGUGGUGAAAUGCGUAGAGAUCGGCAGGAACACCCAGGGGGAAACCAGUCGACUGGGCAGC